Long non-coding RNA from Pezoporus occidentalis (night parrot), 1070 nucleotides. RefSeq lists it as uncharacterized. NCBI's taxonomy places the organism in Eukaryota, Metazoa, Chordata, Aves, Psittaciformes, Psittacidae. The record is from RefSeq and is a predicted model, not a curated record. The transcript has 2 exons.
UCAGCAAAACAAGUUCAAUCUGGAAUUUCCUGGUGAUGAAAGAGUGUUAGCUUACAAAAAUGUCCAUCCUUCCUGAGCACCUUCCAAUCCCAUUGAUUUCAGCUAGCAUAACAGCUAGCAUUUCAGCAUAACACCAGCUUUGACUAAUGAUGGACAACAGAGCCCUAAACUAACGGGAAGUCAAUGGGAGCCUUGCCAGUGGCCUCACCAGGCUUUGCACAAGGCCAUAGAAGUAUUUCCCCUUCCUCUAAAUAAUACAAGGAAUUUUCCUGGCAUGAGGAAGUGGCUUUCUGUGUUCCAUAUUAAAUAAUAGUUUUGGGCAGCCUUUGGCUCUUACGCUCCCUGAGCCUCUCCAGCAUUUUUCUCUAUUUUGUUUUUUUUUUGUUUGGGUUUUCUUUCAGGUUAUGAAUAUGAUGUGGCCAUGCAGUUCACCUUGGAAACACUUCAAACACUCCUACAGCCCCAAGGACUGGUUUUCCAACCACUGCUGUGGCUCCACCCCCAAAUAACAAGAACACUGUCAUUUCUAGUUCCAGCAAGGACAGGAUGUACAUGGACUCCAGUCAUAGCCAUCACUGUAGAAGCUAUCAGGAUCAGAAGAACAGAAGGAACACGUGUAUUCUUCUGACAGAAGCAUGCAUUUUACACCGCUCCUCAGGUGUUAGACCUCUGAAGGUAAAGAAAUUUAAAUACUUUGUUGUUAAGUUCUCCUAUAAGUGUAAAUAGGCCUCAUACUGUUUGUAAGACUUUCAAAGGCAUCUUGGGAAGAAGGAGCCCUUGUGUAGAAUUCAUGCCAUCUUAAAUGAUGGUUAAAAUGUGAGCCUUUCAACUGUAAAGGUAUUUCCUGAUUUCAUUCUUUGUGCCUAAGAUGCAUAGAUGCAAGAAUCAAAACUUGUGUUCAGCAGUCCAAAGUCACCUACAUGGGAGACAACAUUGGUUCACAUUGCUUCUAAAAUACAUUCUUUUGGAAGUUGCUUUCAGAUAUUUGCAUCCUCAUAAAAUCCUAUCGUGCAGUUUGCUACUGUACUUUUAAAGCAUUUUAUUAAUAUAUGAAAGCAUAUUAAUUCAAA